Molecule: ribosomal RNA, 406 nt
Filed under: uncultured bacterium
Lineage: Bacteria
Description: partial 16S ribosomal RNA
Rfam family: Bacterial small subunit ribosomal RNA
Source: RNAcentral
GACGAACGCUGGCGGCAGGCCUAACACAUGCAAGUCGAACGAGUGGCGGACGGGUGAGUAAUGCCUGGGAAACUGCCCGAUGGUGGGGGAUAACUACUGGAAACGGUAGCUAAUUCCGCAUACCCUCGUAUUAGCCCAGAUGUGAUUAGCUAGUAGGGGGGGUAACGGCUCACCUGGGCGACGAUCCCUAGCUGGUCUGAGAGGCUGACCGGCAACACUGGAACUAGAACACGGUCAAGACUCUUACGGGAGGCAGCAGUGGGGAAUAUUGCACAAUGGGCAAAAGCCUGAUGCAGCCAUGCCGCGUGUAUGAAGAAGGCCUUCGGGUUGUAAAGUACUUUCAGCGGGGAGGCGUUACUCGCAGAAGAAGCACCGGCUAACUCCGUGCCAGCAGCCGCGGUAAUAC